Molecule: ribosomal RNA, 253 nt
Filed under: uncultured bacterium
Lineage: Bacteria
Description: partial 16S ribosomal RNA
Rfam family: Bacterial small subunit ribosomal RNA
Source: RNAcentral
UACGGAGGGUGCAAGCGUUAUCCGGAAUCACUGGGUUUAAAGGGUGCGUAGGCGGCCUGGUAAGUCAGGGGUGAAAGCUUCCCGCUCAACGGGAGAACUGCCCUUGAUACUGCCUGGCUCGAAUUGGGUUGAGGCUGGCGGAAUGUGGCAUGUAGCGGUGAAAUGCUUAGAUAUGCCAUAGAACACCGAUUGCGAAGGCAGCCAGCCAAGCCUUGAUUGACGCUGAGGCACGAAAGCGUGGGGAGCGAACAGG